GGUGUGAAAGGGCAAACCCGCGCGAAAGCCGGGGGCGCAAAGUCACCGGCCUACAGCCGCCCGGGCGGCCACGGCGGCGGGACUGCCAAC
Molecule: non-coding RNA, 90 nt
Filed under: Desulfarculus baarsii
Lineage: Bacteria; Pseudomonadati; Thermodesulfobacteriota; Desulfarculia; Desulfarculales; Desulfarculaceae
Also listed under: 1 other name
Description: c-di-GMP sequence
Rfam family: c-di-GMP-I riboswitch aptamer
About the family: GEMM was predicted in a large-scale screen for bacterial structured RNA regulatory elements. Genes associated with GEMM are involved in a diverse array of functions, including chemotaxis regulation, signal transduction, secretion and chitin.
Source: RNAcentral